UACAGAGGUGGCAAGCGUUGUUCGGAAUUACUGGGCGUAAAGGGCGCGUAGGCGGCUUGGUCAGUCCCGUGUGAAAUCCCUCGGCUCAACUGAGGAACUGCACGGGAAACUGCCUGGCUUGAGUUCGGGAGAGGGAAGCGGAAUUCCGGGUGUAGCGGUGAAAUGCGUAGAUAUCCGGAGGAACACCGGUGGCGAAGGCGGCUUCCUGGACCGACACUGACGCUGAGGCGCGAAAGCGUGGGGAGCAAACAGG
RNAcentral lists this ribosomal RNA (253 nucleotides) under uncultured bacterium. RNAcentral describes it as "partial 16S ribosomal RNA". It matches the Rfam family "Bacterial small subunit ribosomal RNA", at positions 524 to 776 of the family's 1533-position model. The record is from RNAcentral.